Molecule: long non-coding RNA, 352 nt
Filed under: Elaeis guineensis (African oil palm)
Lineage: Eukaryota; Viridiplantae; Streptophyta; Magnoliopsida; Arecales; Arecaceae
Description: long non-coding RNA (EGUI_LNC055043)
Source: RNAcentral
CAGCAUGCCCUUUCCAAGAACCUUUCUUGAAUUCUAUCUUUUUUUUAUCAAGAAAACUUUUUGAUUUCUUUUCUCCCUUUUCAAGAAUCUUUCUUGAAGGAAAUCAGCAUGCCCCUUUCUUUCUCUUCCCUUGGCCAAGUACCCUUCUUGGCAUGAAGGGAAUACAUCGUCCAAUUCUUGGGCGUGUGAGACUUUGACGCAUGAGGAGGGAGAGGAGGCUUUUGGAUGUUAAGACCCUCUUCACGUGUUCCCUUCUAUUGCAUACCCAACCCACAUCCCAUGUUUCUUCAAGGCAUGAACUCUUCACGUGAUGGGAUGUUGAAGGUGUGGAUGAUGGGGCGCUAAAAUAAGG